AUUGAACGCUGGCGGAAUGCUUUACACAUGCAAGUCGAACGGCAGCACGGACUUCGGUCUGGUGGCGAGUGGCGAACGGGUGAGUAAUGUAUCGGAACGUGCCCAGUCGUGGGGGAUAACGUAGUGAAAAUUACGCUAAUACCGCAUACGAUCUAUGGAUGAAGGCGGGGGAUCGCAAGACCUCGCGCGAUUGGAGCGGCCGAUAUCAGAUUAGGUAGUUGGUGGGGUAAAGGCCCACCAAGCCAACGAUCUGUAGCUGGUCUGAGAGGCCGACCAGCCACACUGGAACUGAGACACGGUCCAGACUCCUACGGGAGGCAGCAGUGGGGAAUUUUGGACAAUGGGCGAAAGCCUGAGCCAGCCAUUCCGCGUGCAGGAUGAAGGCCCUCGGGUUGUAAACUGCUUUUGUACAGAACGAAAAGGUUUCUACUAAUACUAGGAACUCAUGACGGUACUGUAAGAAUAAGCACCGGCUAACUACGUGCCAGCCGCCGCGGUAA
Molecule: ribosomal RNA, 500 nt
Filed under: uncultured bacterium
Lineage: Bacteria
Description: partial 16S ribosomal RNA
Rfam family: Bacterial small subunit ribosomal RNA
Source: RNAcentral